Molecule: small nuclear RNA, 184 nt
Organism: Dermacentor silvarum
Lineage: Eukaryota; Metazoa; Arthropoda; Arachnida; Ixodida; Ixodidae
Product: U2 spliceosomal RNA
Exons: 1
Source: RefSeq, a predicted model, not a curated record
ACAGCUCCGCUGUAAAAAAAAGAAAAAGAAAAGAAAACUUAUCAGCUUAACAUCUAAUACGGGUCCUAUCUGGACCCAAUAUAUUCAACUUAUUUUCGGAAUGGGGCGGAGUGCUUGAAGCUUGCUUCGCGUCCACCACGGGUUGGCCCGGUAUUGCACUGACUCCGGGAUCGGCCCACUCACU